Paramuricea clavata is the source of this 133-nucleotide non-coding RNA. NCBI's taxonomy places the organism in Eukaryota, Metazoa, Cnidaria, Anthozoa, Malacalcyonacea, Plexauridae. The record is from the annotation of a GenBank genome assembly.
AGCACUCUAGUUCACUACGCACAAAUUCAAUAUUGAAUAUUAUAUAUAUAUAUAUAUAUAUAUAUAUAUAUAUAUAUAUAUAUAUAUAUAUAUAUAUUCAAUAUUGAAUUUGUGCGUAGUGAACUAGAGUGCU